CCUUUGACGUUAGCGGCGGACGGGUGAGUAACACGUGGGUAACCUACCUAUAAGACUGGGAUAACUUCGGGAAACCGGAGCUAAUACCGGAUAAUAUUUCGAACCGCAUGGUUCGAUAGUGAAAGGUGGUUUUGCUAUCACUUAUAGAUGGACCCGCGCCGUAUUAGCUAGUUGGUAAGGUAACGGCUUACCAAGGCGACGAUACGUAGCCGACCUGAGAGGGUGAUCGGCCACACUGGAACUGAGACACGGUCCAGACUCCUACGGGAGGCAGCAGCG
This 279-nucleotide ribosomal RNA is filed under the name uncultured Staphylococcus sp. RNAcentral's name for it is "partial 16S ribosomal RNA". It matches the Rfam family "Bacterial small subunit ribosomal RNA", at positions 83 to 356 of the family's 1533-position model. The record is from RNAcentral. Lineage: Bacteria; Bacillati; Bacillota; Bacilli; Caryophanales; Staphylococcaceae.